This 253-nucleotide ribosomal RNA is filed under the name uncultured bacterium. Its description in RNAcentral is "partial 16S ribosomal RNA". It matches the Rfam family "Bacterial small subunit ribosomal RNA", at positions 524 to 776 of the family's 1533-position model. The record is from RNAcentral.
UACGUAGGGGGCAAGCGUUGUCCGGAUUUAUUGGGCGUAAAGAGCGUGUAGGCGGCUUGGUAGGUCCGCUGUGAAAACUCGAGGCUCAACCUCGAGAUGUCGGCGGAAACCACUUGGCUAGAGUCCGGAAGAGGUGAGUGGAAUUCCGAGUGUAGAGGUGAAAUUCGUAGAUAUUCGGAGGAACACCAGUGGCGAAGGCGGCUCACUGGUCCAUUACUGACGCUGAGGUGCGAAAGCGUGGGGAGCAAACAGG